UCCCCUAUAGCUCAGUUGGUAGAGCGUUCGGCUUUUAGAACCGAAAUGUCCAGGGUUCGAGCCCCUGUGGGGGAG
Yarrowia lipolytica CLIB122 is the source of this 75-nucleotide non-coding RNA. The record is from the annotation of a RefSeq genome assembly. NCBI's taxonomy places the organism in Eukaryota, Fungi, Ascomycota, Dipodascomycetes, Dipodascales.